RNAcentral lists this ribosomal RNA (446 nucleotides) under uncultured bacterium. RNAcentral's name for it is "bacterial SSU rRNA". It matches the Rfam family "Bacterial small subunit ribosomal RNA", at positions 330 to 792 of the family's 1533-position model. The record is from RNAcentral.
GCCAGACUCCUACGGGAGGCAGCAGUGGGGGAUAUUGCACAAUGGGGGGAACCCUGAUGCAGCGACGCCGCGUGGGUGAAGAAGUAUUUCGGUAUGUAAAGCCCUAUCGGCAGGGAAGAAAUUGGACGGUACCUGACUAAGAAGCCCCGGCUAACUACGUGCCAGCAGCCGCGGUAAUACGUAGGGGGCAAGCGUUAUCCGGAUUCACUGGGUGUAAAGGGAGCGUAGACGGCCAUGCAAGCCUGGAGUGAAAGCCCGGGGCCCAACCCCGGGACUGCUCUGGGAACUGUGCGGCUGGAGUGCAGGAGGGGCAGGCGGAAUUCCUGGUGUAGCGGUGAAAUGCGUAGAUAUCAGGAGGAACACCGGCGGCGAAGGCGGCCUGCUGGACCGCGACUGACGUUGAGGCUCGAAAGCGUGGGGAGCAAACAGGAUUAGAUACCCCAGUA